Long non-coding RNA from Falco peregrinus (peregrine falcon), 3698 nucleotides. RefSeq lists it as uncharacterized. NCBI's taxonomy places the organism in Eukaryota, Metazoa, Chordata, Aves, Falconiformes, Falconidae. The transcript has 3 exons. The record is from RefSeq and is a predicted model, not a curated record.
UGGUUUGAUUACACACUAAGUGGUCAGAGGAUGGUCAUAGAGUGUAAUUUUGGCCAAAUUACAUCAGUCCAGUGCGAUCUGCAGAUCCAUUCAGAUGCAAUGGCAGCCAGUGGAUCCAACUCAGCGUCAAGAGGAAAAGGCUAGCACGUGCUAACAUAUUGUGCAACAAAACCAGCUGGACAAGAAAUUAUAAGUAUUCAAGGAGCCCAAGGACGUGCACAUUAUGCCAUUAAGCAGAGACUUGCUAGGAAUGCCCCCAGAUCAUCAGGAUCUGGGUGUCAGCUCAGCAAACUAAGAGAUCCUGCCACAGCAACUGAAAAGCACAUUAUAAUUACGGUGCAGUUAACAUGCCUGAGGGACAGGAUGCCAUCCAGCAGGACCUGGACAAGCUCAAGAAGUGGGCCCACCUGAAUUUCAUGAGGUUCAACAAGGUCAAGUGCAAGGUUCUGCACGUGGGUUGGGACAAACCCUGCUAUCAAUACAGGCUGGGGGGGUGAAGGGAUUGAGAGCAGCCCUAUGGGGAAGUACUUGGGGGUGCUAGUGGGUGAAAAGGUGGACAUGAGCUGGCAAUGUGCGCUCACAGCCCAGAAAGCCAGCCGUGUCCUGGGCUGCAUCAAAAGAAGCAUGGCCAGCAGGUAGAGGGAGAUGAUUCUCCUUCUCAACUCUGUGCUGAUGAGACCCCAGCUGGAAUACUGCAUCCAGCUCCGGAGUCCUCAGCACAGGAAAGAUACGGAGCUGUUGGAGCGGGUCCAGAAGAGGGCAGUGGCAAUGAUCAGAGGGCUGGAACACCUCUGCAUGAGGACGGGCUGAGAGAGUCCAGGGAGACCUUAUUGCAGCCUUUCAGUACUUAAAAGAGGUUUAUAAGAUGGGGACAGACUUUUUAGCAGGGCCUGUUGUGACAGGACAAGGGGUAAUGGUUUUAAACUAGAAGAGGGUAGAUUUAGACUAGAUAUAAGAAAGACAUAUUUUUACAAUGAGGGUGGUGAAAUACUGGAGCAGGUUGCCUGGAGGGAUGGUAGAUGCCCCAUCCCUGGAAACAUUCAACGUCAGGUUGGACAGGGCUCUGAGCAACCUGAUCUAGUAGAUGAUGUCCCUGCUCAUGGCAGGGGGGUUGGACUAGAUGACCUUUAAAGGUCCUUUCCAACCCAAACCAUUCUGUGAUUCAAUGAUUUGCCAGUGCACCCAGCCACAGCACACUGACUAGCUGGUCGCCCCAUUUGUGGGAUACCUUUUUUUAUACUCUCCAUACUACUCUGGUCAGGAGCUGCUGCCUAAGUCAAGUUGACAAGCCCUAGAUGGCAUGUGGUAAGAGCUACACAUUCAUCUCAUUUUAAAAGAAACUGAAUUAGAAAAUUAUGUUAAGAUCCAGAGGGGAGAGUGAGGCCAGGGUCCAUCACUGCAACAGUAUGUAGCUUUAUUUCAGAUCAAGGGACUUAGCCCCAGUGAUCCCAAUCAGAGAAGCAAGAUUUUAGUGAGGAUGAGCACUCAGCUUCCAAACCUGUGGUCCCCUUGUCUCUGCAGCACAUACCUGAUCUGGCCUAGAUGCACAUCUGUGAGGUAAAAGAAGCCAAGAUAUCCUGGAGGAAAGAGAGUUUCUGGAAGAGAGGUACCUGCCACAGCCAAAUAAAUCUUGCGUGCUUCUGGAUCAACAGGACAGACUCCCAGCUGAGCCAGACCUUGUGCAGGUGUCAAUACAAUGUCUCUGGGAGACAAACUCUGCUGGCUGUGUAGAGCUGGGAGCUGCAUUGCUGAGGAGAUUCAGAGAAGUUUGGCAGGCAGCUCCAAGAGCUGCCAUGCUGUGGUCCUGAGGAGACAAAAAACCAGCCCUGUCUGCUUGCAUCGAGUGAGGAACAGCCUCUAUCAGAAACCAGCAUGAGCCAUGCCCACCUGCCUGGUCUUCACAGGAGAGCCUGAAACUGAAAUAGGUGAAACAGCAAAUGAUGGAGAGCUUGAUAAACAAAACCACUGCAGUGGUUGCCAGAGAUCUGUUUAAGAACUAGCACUCCCAAUAUUCCACAUAAAUGUUUAUCCAGUAUGAAUAUUAUUCCUUAAAAAGUAGGAUGUUGUUCUUUUCCUGAGUAGUUUAACUUUGCAUUUUUUUAAUGUCAUCAAAAGUCUGAACUAUGACCUGCGCUAAAACAAUAGUAGAUAUUGUUUAGCAGUAAGUAGACUAAAGAGGAGAGAAAAAGAAAUGUAUUAACAUUACGGGACUAUUAUGACUACAUGUUGCAGACUCAUUAUAUUAGCUAAUAAUACCUAACUGAGUUGACUGGCAAAGGAUCAGCAAUCCCUCAAAGUUCUUUCUUCGGUCAAGACUUAGCCUGAUCUUUCAGUUUCCUGCCAUGUCUUCCAUUAAAUUCCUUUUUCUCAUUUAAAAAUAUAGUCCCAUCUGCUGAGAACUGCACAUUCUCUUCUUCAUCACAAGUGCUGAACUCUAUUCCACUGAAAUGCAGGAGUUCACCAAUAAUCUCUAUUUAUCUGUACAUUUUCUAGUAACCGGAAGAGCUAUCAUCUUUAAUACCUAUAGAGCAAAUGGAAGUUGAAAAGCCAGCAGGGAAGGGUUAGAAUGAAUGGAGUUAAAAGUAUGCUGUGGUGAGUAUACGAUAGAGAAUAUAAUGGUGACAAAGAAUGCUCAAAGGGAGAAGGGAACAAUUACCUGGACUAGGUGACUAGAAGAAAAAGAAGCACAUAGUAGAAAUUGGGCAUUACUAAUCUUUAAAUUCUACAUAAGGAUUAUUGAUUUUUAUUCUUCAGCUGAUUUCAAACAACACUCAUCUUGGUUCAGAACCAAAGCCCGAAACAUCCUCCAGCAUACGAUCACAGUGCUGCGGCAAGCUGCACUCUGGGAUAAGCUGUGCAUCAGAUGCAUCUCUAUGUUUCUGCUUUAAUCGUUACUGAUGGGAAGAAGACAUGCUGUGUAUGCACUUCUAUUGAAAGCUUUAAAAUCUCAGUAAAUCAUAAGAACUCUGUGAUACCAAGAUGCCGUCCCAAGUACUCAUUGAGACAAACUGUUAGAUUCCUAAUUAGUUAAAAUGACACUUCUCUUGGUGCACACCUACGAGUAGAAGUUACCUGCAUGUCCCCAUCCCCACUCCAUGGUGGUUACCACAGUGAUACUCUCCCCUUCUUUUGAAUCAGUGUAGGCUGAGCCACUAAAUACCAGCGCAGACCCAAGUAGAGUCCUCUCUUACGUAUCACACUGAGAAAUUCCAAGAUGUCUGUAAAGAAACAAUGGUCAGGACCUCCCCAUCCACCCCAUUUCUGCCCGAAACUCUGCACACAGACAGCAAAGUGUACAUAUAUGGAUGCUCUUGCUGAGCUGCAACUCACUCUGAAUAACAAGCAGGGGAAAAAAGGAAUAUCUCAGGAUUGCUCUAAAACUUCAAGGCCCUGCUCCAAAAUCUUAGAACUUACAAAACAUUUAGAAACCAGAAGGCAGAACUACACUGCACGAGGGAAGGCACCCCCAUAUCCACCAUGCUGCAUCAGUCAGAAGUGUAAGGGCAGAGCUAGGAAAAGCAGGUUUUCUUCUCUUACCGAAGACCUCUAGAUGGUGCCACCUCUUUUGCUUUCGAACCAAGCAGCAGCUAGUGAGGCUGGCAAGAGAAAUACAACGCUGUGUAAGGGAAAGAAGCUUAGGCAUUUGCAACCAUGUACAUAGGAGGAUCAUUUUGCAUGUAUGAUGUGCUGUUGUUAGA